GACCGCGUAUAGCUCAGUUGGCACUUGGCAGAGCAUUGGGCUAGUAUUCCAAAGGUCGUAGGUUCGAUUCCCACCGUGGUCA
RNAcentral lists this transfer RNA (82 nucleotides) under Paramuricea clavata. RNAcentral describes it as "tRNA-Thr". It matches the Rfam family "tRNA". From Rfam's summary of the family: Transfer RNA (tRNA) molecules are approximately 80 nucleotides in length. Their secondary structure includes four short double-helical elements and three loops (D, anti-codon, and T loops). The record is from RNAcentral. Lineage: Eukaryota; Metazoa; Cnidaria; Anthozoa; Malacalcyonacea; Plexauridae.